RNAcentral lists this ribosomal RNA (489 nucleotides) under uncultured bacterium. Its description in RNAcentral is "bacterial SSU rRNA". It matches the Rfam family "Bacterial small subunit ribosomal RNA", at positions 501 to 992 of the family's 1533-position model. The record is from RNAcentral.
CUACGUGCCAGCAGCCGCGGUAAUACGGAGGAUGCGAGCGUUAUCCGGAUUUAUUGGGUUUAAAGGGUGCGUAGGCGGCCUGUUAAGUCAGCGGUGAAAUCUAGGAGCUUAACUCCUAAAUUGCCAUUGAUACUGGCGGGCUUGAGUGUAGAUGAGGUAGGCGGAAUGCGUGGUGUAGCGGUGGAAUGCAUAGAUAUCACGCAGAACUCCGAUUGCGAAGGCAGCUUACUAAGGUACAACUGACGCUGAAGCACGAAAGCGUGGGUAUCAAACAGGAUUAGAUACCCUGGUAGUCCACGCAGUAAACGAUGAUAACUGGGCGUAUGCGAUAUACAGUAUGCUCCUAAGCGAAAGCGUUAAGUUAUCCACCUGGGGAGUACGCCGGCAACGGUGAAACUCAAAGGAAUUGACGGGGGCCCGCACAAGCGGCGGAGCAUGCGGAUUAAUUCGAUGCAACGCGAAGAACCUUACCUACUCUUGACAUCCAGA